GCGGCUCUACUCCAACGGGCAGAGAGGCCACUUUCAGGAAGUGGAUGCUCCGGGUUCGAAUCCCGGGAGCCGCA
This 74-nucleotide transfer RNA is filed under the name Thermomonospora umbrina. Its description in RNAcentral is "Actinomadura umbrina tRNA". It matches the Rfam family "tRNA". From Rfam's summary of the family: Transfer RNA (tRNA) molecules are approximately 80 nucleotides in length. Their secondary structure includes four short double-helical elements and three loops (D, anti-codon, and T loops). Lineage: Bacteria; Bacillati; Actinomycetota; Actinomycetes; Streptosporangiales; Thermomonosporaceae. The record is from Rfam by way of RNAcentral.